UUUUUGAUAAAGUUAACUGACUGUGACGUUUGGUUAUCUGAACGUUGCAGUGAUGUUAAGAGAGAGAGAGAGUACAAAUGGGGGAAAGCAAGAAAAGGGUACCGAUUAUCUUUGGAAUAAAAGCAUCUGCAAGUUGCACGACGAUCAGCACACGUGGUUUUCUAAAACUUUGGUACAGAAUAAGUAAAGUGGAGCAAUUUGGAUCAUUUUGGAACAUAAAUCUCGAAAAAUCAAUUUGGACUUGGAUCAAAACAAGGGCAUCGAUCGACACCAGUUAGAAGCAUCGGUCGACACCCUCUUCAGCCGAUGAAGAAUCACAAAUUUGGA
Camelina sativa (false flax) is the source of this 327-nucleotide non-coding RNA. Lineage: Eukaryota; Viridiplantae; Streptophyta; Magnoliopsida; Brassicales; Brassicaceae. The record is from RefSeq and is a predicted model, not a curated record.